Molecule: ribosomal RNA, 497 nt
Filed under: uncultured bacterium
Lineage: Bacteria
Description: partial 16S ribosomal RNA
Rfam family: Bacterial small subunit ribosomal RNA
Source: RNAcentral
GAUGAACGCUGGCGGCGUGCCUAAUACAUGCAAGUCGAGCGAACGGACGAGAAGCUUGCUUCUCUGAUGUUAGCGGCGGACGGGUGAGUAACACGUGGAUAACCUACCUAUAAGACUGGGAUAACUUCGGGAAACCGGAGCUAAUACCGGAUAAUAUUUUGAACCGCAUGGUUCAAAAGUAAAAGACGGUCUUGCUGUCACUUAUAGAUGGAUCCGCGCUGCAUUAGCUAGUUGGUAAGGUAACGGCUUACCAAGGCAACGAUGCAUAGCCGACCUGAGAGGGUGAUCGGCCACACUCGAACUGAGACACGGUCCAGACUCCUACGGGAGGCAGCAGUAGGGAAUCUUCCGCAAUGGGCGAAAGCCUGACGGAGCAACGCCGCGUGAGUGAUGAAGGUCUUCGGAUCGUAAAACUCUGUUAUUAGGGAAGAACAUAUGUGUAAGUAACUGUGCACAUCUUGACGGUACCUAAUCAGAAAGCCACGGCUAACUACGUG